RNAcentral lists this ribosomal RNA (931 nucleotides) under bacterium enrichment culture clone ZZ_C10b. RNAcentral's name for it is "bacterial SSU rRNA". It matches the Rfam family "Bacterial small subunit ribosomal RNA", at positions 12 to 913 of the family's 1533-position model. The record is from RNAcentral.
UUUGAUCCUGGCUCAGGACGAACGCUGGCGGCGUGCCUAAUACAUGCAAGUCGAACGGUUCUUUCUUUUGGAAGCUUGCUUCCGAUCGAGAGAAUAGUGGCGAACGGGUGAGUAACACGUGGGUAACCUGCCCAUAAGAGGGGGAUAACAUCCGGAAACGGGUGCUAAUACCGCAUAGUUUUUUUGAUCGCAUGAUCGAGAAAGGAAAGACGGCCUUUGUGCUGUCGCUUAUGGAUGGACCCGCGGCGUAUUAGUUAGUUGGUGAGGUAAUGGCUCACCAAGACGAUGAUACGUAGCCGACCUGAGAGGGUGAUCGGCCACAUUGGGACUGAGACACGGCCCAAACUCCUACGGGAGGCAGCAGUAGGGAAUCUUCCGCAAUGGACGAAAGUCUGACGGAGCAACGCCGCGUGAGUGAAGAAGGUUUUCGGAUCGUAAAACUCUGUUGUCAGAGAAGAACAAGUCGGAGAGUAACUGCUCCGGCCUUGACGGUAUCUGACCAGAAAGCCACGGCUAACUACGUGCCAGCAGCCGCGGUAAUACGUAGGUGGCAAGCGUUGUCCGGAUUUAUUGGGCGUAAAGCGAGCGCAGGCGGUUCCUUAAGUCUGAUGUGAAAGCCCACGGCUCAACCGUGGAAGGUCAUUGGAAACUGGGGAACUUGAGUGCAGAAGAGGAGAGUGGAAUUCCAUGUGUAGCGGUGAAAUGCGUAGAUAUAUGGAGGAACACCAGUGGCGAAGGCGACUCUCUGGUCUGUAACUGACGCUGANGCUCGAAAGCGUGGGGAGCAAACAGGAUUAGAUACCCUGGUAGUCCACGCCGUAAACGAUGAGUGCUAAGUGUUGGAGGGUUUCCACCCUUCAGUGCUGCAGCUAACGCAUUAANCACUCNGCCUGGGGNNUANGNCCGCAAGGCUGAAACUCAAAGGAAUUGA